CUUAUGCGUUGUUGGGUAGGGGAGCGUUCUGUAAGCCGUUGAAGGUGGCCUGUGAGGGUUGCUGGAGGUAUCAGAAGUGCGAAUGCUGACAUAAGUAACGAUAAAGCGGGUGAAAAGCCCGCUCGCCGGAAGACCAAGGGUUCCUGUCCAACGUUAAUCGGGGCAGGGUGAGUCGACCCCUAAGGCGAGGCCGAAAGGCGUAGUCGAUGGGAAACAGGUUAAUAUUCCUGUACUUGGUGUUACUGCGAAGGGGGGACGGAGAAGGCUAUGUUGGCCGGGCGACGGUUGUCCCGGUUUAAGCGUGUAGGCUGAUUUUCCAGGCAAAUCCGGAGAAUCAAGGCUGAGGCGUGAUGACGAGGCACUACGGUGCUGAAGCAACAAAUGCCCUGCUUCCAGGAAAAGCCUCUAAGCAUCAGGUAACAUCAAAUCGUACCCCAAACCGACACAGGUGGUCAGGUAGAGAAUACCAAGGCGCUUGAGAGAACUCGGGUGAAGGAACUAGGCAAAAUGGUGCCGUAAC
Molecule: ribosomal RNA, 520 nt
Filed under: Escherichia coli
Lineage: Bacteria; Pseudomonadati; Pseudomonadota; Gammaproteobacteria; Enterobacterales; Enterobacteriaceae
Description: partial 23S ribosomal RNA
Rfam family: Bacterial large subunit ribosomal RNA
Source: RNAcentral